RNAcentral lists this transfer RNA (73 nucleotides) under Desulfuromonas sp. SDB. RNAcentral's name for it is "tRNA-Lys". It matches the Rfam family "tRNA". From Rfam's summary of the family: Transfer RNA (tRNA) molecules are approximately 80 nucleotides in length. Their secondary structure includes four short double-helical elements and three loops (D, anti-codon, and T loops). RNAcentral also lists the same sequence under 2 other names. Lineage: Bacteria; Pseudomonadati; Thermodesulfobacteriota; Desulfuromonadia; Desulfuromonadales; Desulfuromonadaceae. The record is from RNAcentral.
GGGUCGCUAGCUCAAUAGGUAGAGCACCUGCCUUUUAAGCAGGGGGUCGUGGGUUCGAUUCCCACGCGACCCA